This 73-nucleotide transfer RNA is filed under the name Cordylochernes scorpioides. Its description in RNAcentral is "tRNA-Thr". The record is from RNAcentral. Lineage: Eukaryota; Metazoa; Arthropoda; Arachnida; Pseudoscorpiones; Chernetidae.
UUCUACUGUCCUAGUGGACAUGGCAUCUGCCUGGUAAGUGGAACACUGUGGGUUCGAUUCCCAUCCAUGGACA